Molecule: ribosomal RNA, 182 nt
Filed under: Staphylococcus aureus
Lineage: Bacteria; Bacillati; Bacillota; Bacilli; Caryophanales; Staphylococcaceae
Description: partial 23S ribosomal RNA
Rfam family: Bacterial large subunit ribosomal RNA
Source: RNAcentral
AGAUUAAGUUAUUAAGGGCGCACGGUGGAUGCCUUGGCACUAGAAGCCGAUGAAGGACGUUACUAACGACGAUAUGCUUUGGGGAGCUGUAAGUAAGCUUUGAUCCAGAGAUUUCCGAAUGGGGAAACCCAGCAUGAGUUAUGUCAUGUUAUCGAUAUGUGAAUACAUAGCAUAUCAGAAGG